GGUCCAGUGGCGAAAUGGUUAUCGCCAGUUCGAGACCAGCAUUUUCACAGACGACACCGAAAGAUUGCAGGUUCGAUCCCUGCCUGGAUCG
This is a non-coding RNA of Chytridium lagenaria, 91 nucleotides long. The record is from the annotation of a GenBank genome assembly. Lineage: Eukaryota; Fungi; Chytridiomycota; Chytridiomycetes; Chytridiales; Chytridiaceae.